Molecule: ribosomal RNA, 256 nt
Filed under: uncultured bacterium
Lineage: Bacteria
Description: partial 16S ribosomal RNA
Rfam family: Bacterial small subunit ribosomal RNA
Source: RNAcentral
UAAUACGGAGGGUGCGAGCGUUAAUCGGAAUCACUGGGCGUAAAGCGCACGUAGGCUGCGUGAUAAGUCAGGGGUGAAAUCCCACGGCUCAACCGUGGAACUGCCUUUGAUACUGUCAUGCUAGAAUCCGGGAGAGGGUGGCGGAAUUCCAGGUGUAGGAGUGAAAUCCGUAGAUAUCUGGAGGAACAUCAGUGGCGAAGGCGGCCACCUGGACCGGUAUUGACGCUGAGGUGCGAAAGCGUGGGGAGCAAACAGG